GCGUCGUCGCGGUUGAUAAAAAAGCUUCGUUGAGUAGAGUAGCCCGGGCGUGAGCGGACGUCAGUAUUGUAAGUAAUUCCGUGCGAUAUCGCGGGAUUUGUUAAGCACAAAGUUUAAUUAGGGAUGAGUGAACUUGUAGGUCGAUCGAACUAGCAGUAGGGAGAAAAAAAUAAAAAAAGGUGAAAAAAAUCGAGGGCAAGUCGGGAGAUAACUUAAGGAUAUUACUCGUGUGCUAUUUAGUGUCUUUAUCUUUGUCUUUGCAAUGGGUAAAAGCUGCUUGCCCUUACAGGGAUUGCUUAGUGUGCUUGCGCAUCUUCUAAAAAAUUGAGUACAGUGGAAGGUGUGAGGGUGCAGAGAGAAACUGUGAGAUAAUAUAGACGAUGCCAAGACCACGCCUCUUGUCUAAGGUUACCCCACUCUGUUGGCGAAUUCUCCCACCGCUGGUAUUCAAGAGGGGAUCUAAGAUUUUUCCACUACCCUUUCUUGAAUAUACAUAUCAACCAGUCUCUUUUAUUGAUCCAUCCACUGUACAACAGCUAUCUUCCAUUUUCUUAUCAAUUUCUUACAUGCUACUUUUGUUGAUAUGAUGCUAACUUGUGGAUACUACGAGAUUUCAUGGUGGGCAACUCCGGGUGCAUCCUAGGGCCGAUAGUAAGAGAAGGAUUAUAAAGCGAAGAGAGAAAGAGAAAGUACUCAUAGGUCGGGUGCUUUAGCUUGAGGCUGUUAAACACGGUGGGUCUUAUCGGUAAAACUGUUCUAUACGGAAUAGCAGCCGUCCAGCCAUUGGCCACUAGAAUAUCUACCUUAUAUGUUUCUCUCAUCAUGCAAAACACACACACACACACACACACACACACACACACACACACACAUUUACCUAUGAACAUGUAUAUGUAUAUGUUCUUUAUACGUUUGUAUGCAUAUGAGUAAAACCGUUUGAACGUGUAUCUCUUGAGAGCUUAGCAAUGUACUAAAGUGCAACUACGUCAUGGAUGAGUGUCUUGUUGUAUACCUUUAUACAGGUUGUAUUUGCACCAAAGUCAAACUAAACUUUCUCGAUUACUAUCGUAAAAAUCAAAUAUAUAAGAUAUUUAUCUAUGACUUUAUCUACUUGUUUAUUUGUUUAUUAAUAGAGCGAAUUUUUGCAAUUUGCAUAAAUAUAUAAGACAGAUAUUUAUUAAUAACGAUAAUAUUUAUAUGAUAUUGAUUAAUAAAAAGAUGUAAAAUACCUGUACAUUAAGAUUUUCGUUAUUCAACAAGCUUGUUUUUUUUUCUUGCAGCGCCCUCUAAAUUUUUAGCUUUUCGACGAUAUAUUUCCAAUUUAAAUAACAUAGUGUUUUGUGACUUUUGACAUUUAAUUUUUUCCCUCCUAAGCAACCAAAUCUAUACAAGUAAAAGAUACAUAUUCUCGUAGGAAAUUAAAUUCUUUACAAAACAGAUUUCCUAUAAUUUUUCGAUAAAUUCAAUUCUUUGAAAGAUACUAAAGGUUAAAAUGAUAAAAAGUUGAACUUACAAUUUUUUUUUAGGUCAUAAGCUGAAAAUUUAGAGGACGCUGUAAGAAAAAAACAAACUUGGUAAAUAACGGACACUUUAAAUAGACAUGAAUUUUAGAAGGUAA
Molecule: long non-coding RNA, 1618 nt
Organism: Cotesia glomerata
Lineage: Eukaryota; Metazoa; Arthropoda; Insecta; Hymenoptera; Braconidae
Exons: 2
Source: RefSeq, a predicted model, not a curated record